This is a long non-coding RNA of Bos taurus (domestic cattle), 891 nucleotides long. The record is from Ensembl. NCBI's taxonomy places the organism in Eukaryota, Metazoa, Chordata, Mammalia, Artiodactyla, Bovidae.
CAUCUGGUACCAUGCAUGUUUCCUUGGAGAUGCUCAACGCCUAGUGGCUGUGACAGAAGGACCACGUGGUCAAGAACAGACCGUGAUUACAGACCUGCAUCCAGAGAGGGUGUUUUCACGUUCCAGUCGGACCUGGAGAGAUAAGUGAUGGCAGGACAGAGCAGAUCCAGGAAAUAAUGUUUCUCUAUCCAUUGCCUCAAAGGAAAUUGGAAAACAAGCGUGUCAAUGCCCGGCUGAUGAAGUGUAUGUGGAAAAAAAGAGAACACGCAAAGUAGAGGGAUCCAGCGUGCGUUCUUUGGUUCGACAACUCGACUUUCCACAAGGUCUUUUCAAAACGAGCUUCCAGGGACAGUGCCAAGGACUUAAGAGCUGGCGGCGUCGGCCUGAACCCCGCAACUAGGCAGGUUCCCAGGAGGCUUGAAUGAGGGGGUCACAGCGCGGAUCUCCCUCUCCCCCACGCAGUCUUUGUGAGUUAUUGCCAGCGAGGGGCACAAAAGGACCGCAGGACCCAAAAUGCCGGAGUGGGAGGGGAGAUGUAGCGACUGCGACUGGCCGCCGCGGUUUUUUGAGCCCCUCAGGCUGAAACUCGCCCUGUGGGACCGGGAAACCCACGCCUUCACCCUCCCGGGCCCAGGGACACCACGCCUCAACGCGCUCGCCUGCAGAGGUGUGCAAGGAGAACUGACCCCCUGGGGCUGCCGUCGUCUGCGAAACACAAAGGCCGGAAGUACAUCGGCGUCAGCCUGGCCUGGCGCCCUCUCUAGGACCCUGGAUGCCCCACAGCUCAGUGGUUCUCCAGACCCGAAGCUGGUGGGUGGAGGGAUCUGACCUGGGGAUACCCAGGGCGUGUGUGUGCCCUCCUGCAGGGGCGGCAAAGGGCUCGCAGGAACA